GAGAGAGACAUGCGCGCAUAUCAAUAAGCGGAGGAAAAGAAACUAACAAGGAUUCCCUUAGUAACGGCGAGUGAAGCGGGAAGAGCUCAAAUUUGAAAUCUUCAAGGUUUUACCUUGACGAAUUGUAGUUUAAAGAAGUGUUUUCUGCUGAAGUUUUGGUAAAAGUUCUUUGGAAUAGGACAUCAUAGAGGGUGAGAAUCCCGUAUUUGACCAUUAUUUUCAGCUUUGUGAUACACUUUCAAAGAGUCGGAUUGUUUGGGAAUGCAGUCCAAAAUGGGUGGUAAAUUUCAUCUAAAGCUAAAUAUUGGCGAGAGACCGAUAAGCGAACAAGUACCGUGAGGGAAAGAUGAAAAGAACUUUGAAAAGAGAGUUAAACAGUACGUGAAAUUGUCAAAAGGGAAGCGUUUGACACCAGUGUUGUUUUCUCGAAAAUCAAUUAAAAAUGGCUCGAUUUUGUAUUGCUUGAGACCUUAAAAGCUCACUGUACAUUUUUCGUGUCUUUUUUAAUGCACUUUUCGUUUAACAAGUCAACAUCAGUUUCUUUUGUUGUAAAAGGGUCAUUGGAAGGUGGCUUUCUUUUCGGAGAAAGUGUUUAUAGCCUUUGGCCUCUGCAAUCGGAGAGACUGAGGUCUGCAGCGUAGACUCUUCGGGGUUAGAUACAUUUGUGCUAAGUUAUAGCUUUUUAUAGACAACUUGUUGACUAUAAUUAGUCUUGUAGCUUACUCGCUUAUGCUAUUUUACCUACGCUUAGGAUGUUGAAGUCAUCGUAUCGCGC
RNAcentral lists this ribosomal RNA (775 nucleotides) under uncultured Neocallimastigales. RNAcentral's name for it is "partial large subunit ribosomal RNA". It matches the Rfam family "Eukaryotic large subunit ribosomal RNA", at positions 23 to 645 of the family's 3401-position model. Lineage: Eukaryota; Fungi; Neocallimastigomycota; Neocallimastigomycetes; Neocallimastigales. The record is from RNAcentral.